AGGACGAACGCUGGCGGCGUGCUUAACACAUGCAAGUCACGGGGGCCCGCAAGGGUAACCGGCGAACGGGUGCGUAACACGUGAGCAACCUGCCUUUGUGUGGGGGAUAGCCGGGCUAACGCCCGGGUAAUACCGCAUACGGUUCUCGAGGGGAGUCCCUUGGGAAAGAAACCUCCGGGGCACAAAGAGGGGCUCGCGGCCUAUCAGCUAGUUGGGGGGGUAAUGGCCCACCAAGGCGACGACGGGUAGCU
This 251-nucleotide ribosomal RNA is filed under the name uncultured bacterium. Its description in RNAcentral is "partial small subunit ribosomal RNA". It matches the Rfam family "Bacterial small subunit ribosomal RNA", at positions 26 to 288 of the family's 1533-position model. The record is from RNAcentral.